This 207-nucleotide unclassified non-coding RNA is filed under the name Hevea brasiliensis (rubber tree). Lineage: Eukaryota; Viridiplantae; Streptophyta; Magnoliopsida; Malpighiales; Euphorbiaceae. The record is from RNAcentral.
AAUGGUAUAUUCAUCAUAACUCCAACUUGAAUCAUCCCCCGCCAGUCACCUAGGCCUUACCAUAGGCGGAAUGUUGACGUUACUCCACAAAUACAAUCCAAAUCUAAUAUCCUUGUUACACUUACACUAAACUGUUUAAAGGUAUGUUAGCUUAAUGUUUGACUAGAUACAAAACAUCACAACAAUUUAAGCUAUAGAGUAAAAAAU